This 27-nucleotide non-coding RNA is filed under the name Homo sapiens (human). The record is from RNAcentral. Lineage: Eukaryota; Metazoa; Chordata; Mammalia; Primates; Hominidae.
UGAGUGACCAGAUCAUUGACAGUGAGC